AGUGAACGCUGGCGGUAGGCCCAACACAUGCAAGUCGAACGGCAGCACAGUAAGAGCUUGCUCUUACGGGUGGCGAGUGGCGGACGGGUGAGGAAUACAUCGGAAUCUACUUUUUCGUGGGGGAUAACGUAGGGAAACUUACGCUAAUACCGCAUACGACCUACGGGUGAAAGCAGGGGAUCUUCGGACCUUGCGCGAUUGAAUGAGCCGAUGUCGGAUUAGCUAGUUGGCGGGGUAAAGGCCCACCAAGGCGACGAUCCGUAGCUGGUCUGAGAGGAUGAUCAGCCACACUGGAACUGAGACACGGUCCAGACUCCUGCGGGAGGCAGCAGUGGGGAAUAUUGGACAAUGGGCGCAAGCCUGAUCCAGCCAUACCGCGUGGGUGAAGAAGGCCUUCGGGUUGUAAAGCCCUUUUGUUGGGAAAGAAAAGCAGCAGGUUAAUACCCCGCUGUUCUGACGGUACCCAAAGAAUAAGCACCGGCUAACUUCGUG
This 492-nucleotide ribosomal RNA is filed under the name uncultured bacterium. RNAcentral's name for it is "partial 16S ribosomal RNA". It matches the Rfam family "Bacterial small subunit ribosomal RNA", at positions 29 to 507 of the family's 1533-position model. The record is from RNAcentral.